GUGACAUUCAGCCUCAUCACUUUCCACCAUUCUUUAGAGCUUUUCAUCACCCUGUUUGCAAGAGCAAUGAUUUUACAAUCAAUAGGGACAGCAGGAACUGUCAGACAAGAGGCUCAUUACACAAUAAAACGGCCCAACCUACAAGACUGGUACAAAAUUCAGGAAGACAAAGUUGAAAGCUUCCUGAAUUUUCAUUCAAUACUUCCCUCUCCUUUUCAACUCUGGGGGAGAAAUUCACAGCCAGAGGAAAGUUCAGACAUAAACUUUGUGCCUUCUGCUUGUUUCUCACUGCAUUCCACCACACAUCACAGAAGGAGUACACUGUGCCUAUGAAGGACCGAUGAGUACAAGGGAAACUUGGAGAAGUCCCAAACUCCCAACUGCAUCAAACAAAUCAUGGAGACUGUAGAGGUAGGUGGCUCCCCUGCUGUUUUUGCACCAGCACUUGUGGGCUUUUAAUACUGGAAACAACACUUUCACCCAUGUCAUCACUUAACAGUAUAAUA
Molecule: long non-coding RNA, 506 nt
Filed under: Coturnix japonica (Japanese quail)
Lineage: Eukaryota; Metazoa; Chordata; Aves; Galliformes; Phasianidae
Description: lncRNA (ENSCJPG00005007184.1)
Source: RNAcentral